AGACUUAGUCCUAACCUUACAGUUAGUUAUUGUCAAAUAUAUACAUGCAAGUAUCCGCACUCCAGUGUAAAUGCCCACGACAUCCUCCACAAAACAGGAAAGAGGAGCGGGUAUCAGGCACACUAAAACGUAGCCCAAGACGCCUUGCCCAGCCACACCCCCAAGGGUACUCAGCAGUAAUUAACAUUAAGCCAUAAGUGAAAACUUGACUUAGCUAUGACAACCAACCACACCAGGGCUGGUAAAUCUUGUGCCAGCCACCGCGGUCAUACAAGAAGCCCAAAUUAACUGUCACCGGCGUAAAGAGUGGUACUACACUAUCAUUCAACUAAGACCAAAAUGCAACUGAGCUGUCAUAAGCCCACGAUGCACUUAAGACCGCCCUCAAAACGAUCUUAGCAUAAUGAUCUAUAAAACACCACGAAAGCCAAGACACAAACUGGGAUUAGAUACCCCACUAUGCUUGGCCCUAAAUCCAGAUACCUACUCCACUAAAGUAUCCGCCCGAGAACUACGAGCACAAACGCUUAAAACUCUAAGGACUUGGCGGUGCUCCAAAACCACCUAGAGGAGCCUGUUCUGUAAUCGAUAACCCACGAUACACCCAACCCCUUCUAGCCCAAAGCAGCCUACAUACCGCCGUCCCCAGCCCACCUCCCUGAGAGUUCAAGCAGUGGGCACAACAGCAUACCGCUAAUAAGACAGGUCAAGGUAUAGCCCAUGAAGGGGAAGAAAUGGGCUACAUUUUCUAAAAUAGAAAACUUCACGAAAGGAGAUCUGAAAAGAUCCCCAGAAGGAGGAUUUAGAAGUAAAGAGGGGCAAGAAUACCCCCUUAAACUCGGCCCUGGAGCACGUACAUACCGCCCGUCACCCUCCUCAAAACCCCAAGAAUACCAGUAAAUAACAAGCACAGUUGGUCAAAGAUGAGGUAAGUCGUAACAAGGUAAGUGUACCGGAAGGUGCACUUAGCAU
This 972-nucleotide non-coding RNA is filed under the name Coturnicops noveboracensis (yellow rail). RNAcentral describes it as "12S ribosomal RNA". It matches the Rfam family "Bacterial small subunit ribosomal RNA". The record is from RNAcentral. Lineage: Eukaryota; Metazoa; Chordata; Aves; Gruiformes; Rallidae.